UUCACUUAGACAUUAUGGGGUGUUGUGUGUAGGCCAGUGACACAAAACCUUAGUUAGCUCCUUUUUAAAUUCAGGCUGUAACACAACAAAAUGUGGAAAAAAUAAAGGGGUGUGAAUACUUUCUGAAGGCACUGUAUACAGAGAGAGAGGUUAAAGGCACUGUAUACAGAGAGAGAGGUUAAAGGCACUGUAUACAGAGAGAGAGGUUAAAGGCACUGUAUACAGAGAGAGAGGUUAAAGGCACUGUAUACAGAGAGAGAGGUUAAAGGCACUGUAUACAGAGAGAGAGGUUAAAGGCACUGUAUACAGAGAGAGAGGUUAAAGGCACUGUAUACAGAGAGAGAGGUUAAAGGCACUGUAUACAGAGAGAGAGGUUAAAGGCACUGUAUACAGAGAGAGAGAUGUUAAAGGCACUGUAUACACACAGAGAGAAAGGGUAAAGGCACUGUAUACAGAGAGAGAGAGGGUAAAGGCACUGUAUACAGAGAGAGAGGGUAAAGGCACUGUAUACAGAGAGAGAGAGGGUAAAGGCACUGUAUACAGAGAGAGAGAGGGUAAAGGCACUGUAUACAGAGAGAGAGAGGGUAAAGGCACUGUAUACAGAGAGAGAGAGGGUAAAGGCACUGUAUACAGAGAGAGAGAGGGUAAAGGCACUGUAUACAGAGAGAGAGGGUAAAGGCACUGUAUACAGAGAGAGAGGGUAAAGGCACUGUAUACAGAGAGAGAGGUUAAAGGCACUGUAUACAGAGAGAGAGGUUAAAGGCACUGUAUACAGAGAGAGAGGUUAAAGGCACUGUAUACAGAGAGAGAGGUUAAAGGCACUGUAUACAGAGAGAGAGGUUAAAGGCACUGUAUACAGAGAGAGAGGUUAAAGGCACUGUAUACAGAGAGAGAGGUUAAAGGCACUGUAUACAGAGAGAGAGGUUAAAGGCACUGUAUACAGAGAGAGAGGUUAAAGGCACUGUAUACAGAGAGAGAGGUUAAAGGCACUGUAUACAGAGAGAGAGGUUAAAGGCACUGUAUACAGAGAGAGAGGUUAAAGGCACUGUAUACAGAGAGAGAGGUUAAAGGCACUGUAUACAGAGAGAGAGGUUAAAGGCACUGUAUACAGAGAGAGAGGUUAAAGGCACUGUAUACAGAGAGAGAGGUUAAAGGCACUGUAUACAGAGAGAGAGGUUAAAGGCACUGUAUGUAGAGAGAGAGGUUAAAGGCACUGUAUGUAGAGAGAGAGGUUAAAGGCACUGUAUGUAGAGAGAGAGGUUAAAGGCACUGUAUACAGAGAGUGGGGUUAAAGGCACUAUACCUGCUGAACAUCAGGGAUGUUAUGGUGCUAAUGAAGUAGACAUGAGGGGUCCAGAUGGAAAUGUUGGCCAUUUGAAAAACUUUAAGCAAAGGUUAUCCCAUUAAUGUAAAUGUUUGCUAAUAGACCCUGUGUUCUCACUUCCUGCUAUUCCUGUCUGCUAUUCCACUCUGGCAGGAAAUCCCAACAG
This is a long non-coding RNA of Oncorhynchus keta (chum salmon), 1490 nucleotides long. RefSeq lists it as uncharacterized. The transcript is spliced from 4 exons. Lineage: Eukaryota; Metazoa; Chordata; Actinopteri; Salmoniformes; Salmonidae. The record is from RefSeq and is a predicted model, not a curated record.